This 403-nucleotide ribosomal RNA is filed under the name unidentified bacterium PIA-4. Its description in RNAcentral is "bacterial SSU rRNA". It matches the Rfam family "Bacterial small subunit ribosomal RNA", at positions 97 to 497 of the family's 1533-position model. The record is from RNAcentral.
GGCGAACGGGUGAGUAAUGUAUCGGAANGUGCCUANUAGCGGGGGAUAACUACGCGAAACGUAGCUAAUACCGCAUACGCCCUACGGGGGAAAGCAGGGGAUCGCAAGACCUUGCACUAUUAGAGCGGCCGAUAUCGGAUUAGCUAGUUGGUGGGGUAACGGCUCACCAAGGCGACGAUCCGUAGCUGGUUUGAGAGGACGACCAGCCACACUGGGACUGAGACACGGCCCAGACUCCUACGGGAGGCAGCAGUGGGGAAUUUUGGACAAUGGGGGAAACCCUGAUCCAGCCAUCCCGCGUGUGCGAUGAAGGCCUUCGGGUUGUAAAGCACUUUUGGCAGGAAAGAAACGUCAUGGGCUAAUACCCCGUGAAACUGACGGUACCUGCAGAAUAAGCACCGGC